This 1415-nucleotide ribosomal RNA is filed under the name metagenome. RNAcentral's name for it is "bacterial LSU rRNA". It matches the Rfam family "Bacterial large subunit ribosomal RNA", at positions 1530 to 2925 of the family's 2925-position model. The record is from RNAcentral.
CCUUAGGCAAAUCCGGGAUCACUUACGCCGAGCACCGAGACGAGUCCUAUGAGGACGAAGUGACUGACACCACGCUUCCAGGAAAAGCCACUAAGCUUCAGCUUAAGAAAAACCGUACCGCAAACCGACACAGGUAGGCAGGGUGAGAAUCCCAAGGCGCUUGAGAGAACUCGGGUGAAGGAACUAGGCAAAAUGGCACCGUAACUUCGGGAGAAGGUGCGCCCUUUGGUGUGGUCACGUGCGUGACUGAGCAUCGAAGGGUCGCAGUAACCUGGCCGCUGCGACUGUUUAUCAAAAACACAGCACUCUGCAAACACGAAAGUGGACGUAUAGGGUGUGACGCCUGCCCGGUGCUGGAAGGUUAAUUGAUGGGGUCAGCCGCAAGGCGAAGCUCUUGAUCGAAGCCCCAGUAAACGGCGGCCGUAACAAUAACGGUCCUAAGGUAGCGAAAUUCCUUGUCGGGUAAGUUCCGACCUGCACGAAUGGCGUAACGACAGCGGCGCUGUCUCCACCCGAGACUCAGUGAAAUUGAAAUCGCUGUGAAGAUGCAGCGUUCCCGCGGCAAGACGGAAAGACCCCGUGAACCUUUACUAUAGCUUUACACUGAACGUUGAGUUCUUCUGUGUAGGAUAGGUGGGAGGCUAUGAAACCAGGACGCUAGUUCUGGUGGAGCCAUCCUUGAAAUACCACCCUGAAGUGCUUGACGUUCUAACCUAGGCCCGUAAUCCGGGUCAGGGACCGUGUAUGGUGGGUAGUUUGACUGGGGCGGUCUCCUCCCAAAGAGUAACGGAGGAGCACGAAGGUACGCUCAGCGCGGUCGGACAUCGCGCACUGUGUGCAAAGGCAUAAGCGUGCUUGACUGCGAGAUCGACGGAUCAAGCAGGUACGAAAGUAGGUCUUAGUGAUCCGGUGGUUCUGUAUGGAAGGGCCAUCGCUCAACGGAUAAAAGGUACUCCGGGGAUAACAGGCUGAUACCGCCCAAGAGUUCAUAUCGACGGCGGUGUUUGGCACCUCGAUGUCGGCUCAUCACAUCCUGGGGCUGUAGCCGGUCCCAAGGGUAUGGCUGUUCGCCAUUUAAAGUGGUACGCGAGCUGGGUUCAGAACGUCGUGAGACAGUUCGGUCCCUAUCUGUCGUGGGCGUUGGAGAUUUGAGGGGGGCUGCUCCUAGUACGAGAGGACCGGAGUGGACGUUCCGCUGGUGUUCGGGUUGUCAUGCCCAUGGCAUUGCCCGGUAGCUACGAACGGAAGUGAUAACCGCUGAAAGCAUCUAAGCGGGAAGCACGCCCCAAGAUGAGAUCUCCCGAGAGCUUGACUCUCCUAAAGGCACCAUCAAGACUAGGUGGUUGAUAGGUCAGGUGUGGAAGCGCAGCAAUGCGUUGAGCUAACUGAUACUAAUGGGCCGUGAGGCUUGACCA